Gadus morhua (Atlantic cod) is the source of this 2748-nucleotide RNA transcript. It is a transcript of the gene named neuronal acetylcholine receptor subunit beta-2, with no coding region annotated. NCBI's taxonomy places the organism in Eukaryota, Metazoa, Chordata, Actinopteri, Gadiformes, Gadidae. The transcript is spliced from 8 exons. The record is from RefSeq and is a predicted model, not a curated record.
GCGCCUCCAUUUAUUACAACGCUUCUUAUUUGUCGCUGAAGCGGCAUGUCUUGAACCGUGCCGCAGCUAACGACGCGACAUGACGACGCGACAUAACGACACGACACGAUAUAUCCACACGACAUUAACUCAACACGACACAACUGAACGACGUGACGCAACUACGCGAAACAACGACCACGACAUAACGACGAUAAAGACCCGCAUCAGCAUUAUGAAAGCGUUUGACUCGUUGGGAGCGACUCCCUCUUUCCAACCCCUGUUUUUAUGAGUUUUUUAACGUCCGCCUCUUAAUUGAUCGUCCACGCACAUGGUGUAGGACAACUUCUCCAAAGCCCUCCCCCCCCCACCCCGCUGGGUUGGACUGCUCUCCGCCUGAAGAGGAGCGCACAGCGCGGGAGAAGAGAUGGAGAUGCUGCUCCUCUUCUUCCACCUCUUCGUCCUCUCCUCCGCAAGGGCCGGUCCGGGGAGCGGGAACCCUAACGCAGAGGAGCGGCUGAUCAACUACCUGCUGGCCCCCGAGCGCUACAACAAGAUGAUCCGGCCGGCCGUCAACAAGAGCCAGCAGGUCACCAUCUCCAUCCAGGUGUCCCUCUCGCAGCUCAUCAGCGUGAAUGAGAGAGAGCAGAUAAUGACGACCAAUCUGUGGCUGUUUCAGGAGUGGAAUGACUACAGGCUGAGUUGGGACCCAGAGAAAUAUGAAGGCCUCAAAAAGCUGCGCAUUCCUGCCAAGAUGAUCUGGCUUCCGGAUAUAGUGCUCUACAACAAUGCGGACGGCGUUUACGAGGUCUCCUACUGCAACACGGUGGUCUCCCACACCGGCUACAUCUUCUGGCUGCCCCCCGCCAUCUACAAGUCGGCGUGCGCCAUCCAGGUGCGCGACUUCCCCUUCGACCGGCAGAACUGCACGCUCAAGUUCCGCUCCUGGACCUACGACCGCACGGAGAUGGACCUGGCGCUGAUCAGCGACACGGCCAGCCGCGACGACUUCACGCCCAGCGGCGAGUGGGACAUCGUGUCGCUGCCCGCCCGCAAGAACGAGGACCCCCGCGACGCCGCCUACCUGGACAUCACCUACGACUUCAUCAUCCGGCGCAAGCCGCUGUUCUACACCAUCAACCUCAUCAUCCCCUGCGUGCUCAUCACCUCGCUGGCCAUCCUGGUCUUCUACCUGCCGUCCGACUGCGGCGAGAAGAUCGCGCUGUGCAUCUCCGUGCUGCUGGCGCUCACUGUGUUCCUGCUGCUCAUCUCCAAGAUCGUGCCGCCCACCUCGCUGGCCGUGCCGCUCGUAGGUAAGUACCUGAUGUUCGCCAUGGUGCUGGUGACCUUCUCCAUCGUGACCAGCGUGUGUGUGCUCAACGUGCACCACCGCUCCCCCUCCACCCACCACAUGCCCCCCUGGGUGCGCAGCGUCUUCCUGGUGCGGCUUCCCGCCUUCCUGCUCAUGCGGCGCCCGGGCAACUCCAGCGGCCGCCAGAGGCUCCGCCGCAAGUACGCCCACAAGUUCCCCCUGGAGGGGGGCCGGGACCCGCCCCCGGAGCUCCGGCUGGGCCUGGGGUUCGGGGGGGCCGGAGACGGCGACGCCUGCUUCGCCAACGAGGAGGCGGCGCGGCGGUACGGCUGGAGGUCGGGGGGGGUCCCGGCCGUUGGGGGCGGGGCCGGGGCGGGGGAGGGCGGGGCCGAGGGCGGGGCCGAGGGCGGGGCGGCGACGAGGUGGGACGCGUACCUGGAGGAGGCGGUGGACGGCGUGAAGUUCAUCGCCCGGCACAUGAAGACGGAGGACGAAGACGAAGGGAUCAUCGAGGACUGGAAGUACGUUGCCAUGGUGAUCGACCGGCUGUUCCUGUGGAUCUUCAUCCUGGUGUGUGUGGUCGGAACGCUGGGGCUGUUUGUUCAGCCGCUGUUCCAGAGCUACAACACGCCCAGCGCCGGGGACCAAGAGUAGGCCACGCACACGCGUGCACGCACCGUGCACGCACACACGCACCCCGCACACAGGUUGGGGAUUUCUGAAAGCCCCUGGGAUACGGAAAGGUAACCCUGUAGCCGCCGAUCUGUUGCUGGUGUAGAAACUUUGGAGAGGCGCGUGCCGAAGCAGCACGACGCCUGGAGCGGACUCGUCAUAUCUCCGCUGUGCCAUAAACUAUACGAGGCAUUAAAGUCACUAUUCUCAUUACUGCUACACAUUACCCCUGGACUGGCCAUUACAGGACAUCAGAGUGACAGUUCACUCCCUUUGUCCCAAACUGUCCCCUUAGAUGUUAAUAUUUACCAUCUGGCUUCACAUUGUUGUGUUUGUUUGAGAUAUUCUUCAAAAUGUUCCUUUCCCGGUCUCUUUGUAUCGGUUGGCCCAUCUGUCUUGCCUUCUACUGGAGUCAGAUUAGAUCGUUGUGUAUAUUUAUCUCUCUGUUUGUCGCUCCGUUUUAGGGCGUGUUGACCCAAGAAGUGAUGAUAGUUGUAUGAUGUUGUUUUGUAUAUUCCUUAACCAGGGUUAUUCGUUUUUUAAUAUAUACAUAUGCAUGUUUCCUGAGUAUACACUUCUGGGAACAGAACAACUCCACAAAAACAUUAUUAUAAGGUUUACUUUAAUAUCAAUUGAUCUAGCUGAUUUCCUAACUACUUUUAAUGAUGUUUGUUAAGGUCCAACAUGUUUCUAUCUUGAUUAACUGCCUUAAAUACAAUAAACGUUGAACAAUUAUGGAAACGCAUUGCAGCUCUGUCUGGCCUAAUAAAAGAAAUGCACACUUA